Molecule: ribosomal RNA, 171 nt
Filed under: uncultured bacterium
Lineage: Bacteria
Description: partial 16S ribosomal RNA
Source: RNAcentral
CACGCCCUAAACGAUGAUCUCUAGCUUUGAGGAGUAUCGACCCUCUUCGAGGCUAAGCUAACGCGAUAAGAGAUCCGCCUGGGUANGAUAAACGAAGAACCUUACCAGGCUUAGAUAUCCAGACGAAGAUUCUAGGAAACUAGGAUCGCCGUAAGGCGGCUGGACAGGUGC